CGUUCCCAAACCUGGAGGAUCAUCAUCCGGUUCAAUAGCAUGAUUACAACUGAUCGACGAUGAAUCGGAAAUUCUGCAAUUGCGCUAUCUGUGAGAAUUCUAGUCAGGCUUCCAUUUGCACCGUUUGCGUCAAUCACAGAUUGAAUGACUACAACUCUGCGUUAAAACUAUUGAAAGCUCGGCGCGAUUUGUUGUAUUCGAGGUUGAGCGACGUACUUGUGGCAAAGGGGAAGGCAGACGAUCAAUUAAAUUGGAGAGUUACUCGGAAUGAGAAACUUACUAGGUUAAGGGAGAAACUCCGGCGCAGUAGAGAGAAACUCGAGCAAGGAAAGACGGAGAUUGAGUUGACGUCCUAUGAUCUCAAAUUGAAAUAUGCGAUGCUUGAAUCAGCUCGUUCUGUGUUGGAAAAACAACGAGUUGAACAACUGGAGAAAGCCUAUCCCGACCUUAUUAGCACCAAGAAUCUGGGACAUAUGGCAAUUACCUCUGAACGCCUUCACAAACAAUCCUUGGUUGUAAAACAAAUGUGCAAAUUGUUUCCACAACGUCGGGUUUUAGUUCAUGGAGAGAACAAAGAGGGACCAAGCGAGCAAUUUGACCAAAUCUGUUAUGUGAGCUUACCAAGAGGACUGGAUCCGCAUUCUGUUGAGCCACACGAGCUUUCAGUUUCUUUGGGAUACAUGGUGCAGCUUCUAAAUCUUGUCGUUCAAUAUCUGGCAGCUCCUGCACUUCACCACUCAGGUUUUGCAGGUUCUUGUUCACGCAUAUGGCAAAGGGAUUCAUAUUGGAAAGCUCGUCCAUCUUCCCGAAGCAAUGAGUAUCCACUUUUUAUACCACGUCAAACCUAUAGUUCAACAAGUGGGGAAAAUUCAUGGUCUGAUAAAUGCUCUAGCAGCUUCGGUGUUGCUUCCUUGGAAUCGGAGAGGAAAUCACAUUUAAGUUCACUAGAAAGUAGUAGCUUCAGUUAUCCGUCCGCUCCUCCACAUUCUAUAGAAACGCACAAGAAUUUGCAGAAGGGGAUUGCCCUCCUCAAGAAAAGUGUAGCAUGUGUCACCUCAUACUGCUAUAACUCUCUCUCUUUAGAUGUUCCUUCUGAAGCUUCUACUUUUGAAGCAUUUGCUAAAUUAUUGGCUACUCUUUCUUCAUCCAAGGAAGUGCGUUCUGUUUUUUCCCUCAAAAUGGCUUCUUCCAGGCCCCCUAAGCACGUUCAGAAACUGAACAAGUCUGCAUGGACUGUUAAUUCGAUUUCAUCCAGCAUGCUGUUCGAGAGUGCACAUUCACAAAUAAUGAAAACCAAUUGUGAGAGUAAUCUUCCAAGUUAUCUUUAUGCCACCGAGUUUUCUGAUGCUGGAAAGAAUGAUUGCACCAUUGAGGAAUGGGACUUCAUAGAGCAUCCAACGCUUCCUCCACCACCAUCUCAAUCUGAAAAUAUUGAGCAUUGGACUCGAGCAAUGAUCACCGAUGCCACCAAACAGUAAUUUAAUGGUAUAUGGAGAUAGCAUGAGAAAUAGAAGGGGAUUUGGAACUACUCAAUACACAAUCAGCUUUCGACCUGUAAAUAUGAAGACUUCCAAAAGUGGAAGGGCAGAGGUUUAUUCUUCUUCCAGUCCUUCAAAGGUGUCUUCCUCUCCAUCUUCUUCCACGAUUACUUAUAAUCUUUAUUAUCUUCAUCCUUCUUAUCACUCCCACCAUCAUCCUUAUCUUUAUCACCACCACCAUCGCCACUGUUCUCACUUCCACCACGGUGGUCAUCAUUGCCAUCAUCUCUUCCUCCUUUGGUGAUAUCAUCUUUUACCAUUUUUCUUUCGUAGUAAUGUAUGCAUCUGUAUCAUCGUAAAAAAAGGAUAUUUUUCGAUGCAUGAGGUCUCAACAUUUUCAUUCAUUAUCAUGUAAAACCUCUAAUGUUCUCCUCA
This is a non-coding RNA of Cucurbita pepo subsp. pepo (vegetable marrow), 1913 nucleotides long. The record is from RefSeq and is a predicted model, not a curated record. NCBI's taxonomy places the organism in Eukaryota, Viridiplantae, Streptophyta, Magnoliopsida, Cucurbitales, Cucurbitaceae.